RNAcentral lists this ribosomal RNA (253 nucleotides) under uncultured bacterium. RNAcentral's name for it is "partial 16S ribosomal RNA". It matches the Rfam family "Bacterial small subunit ribosomal RNA", at positions 524 to 776 of the family's 1533-position model. The record is from RNAcentral.
UACGGAGGGUGCAAGCGUUAUCCCGAUUUACUGGGUUUAAAGGGUGCGUAGGUGGGCAGGUAAGUCAGUGGUGAAAUCCCCGAGCUUAACUCGGGAACUGCCAUUGAUACUAUCUGUCUUGAAUAUCCUGGAGGUGAGCGGAAUAUGUCAUGUAGCGGUGAAAUGCUUAGAUAUGACAUAGAACACCCAUUGCGAAGGCAGCUCACUACGGGAUUAUUGACACUGAGGCACGAAAGCGUGGGGAUCAAACAGG